Long non-coding RNA from Ruditapes philippinarum (Manila clam), 404 nucleotides. RefSeq lists it as uncharacterized. The record is from RefSeq and is a predicted model, not a curated record. The transcript has 4 exons. Lineage: Eukaryota; Metazoa; Mollusca; Bivalvia; Venerida; Veneridae.
AUGGUGGCGCUGUUUAGAAAAAUUUGAAAACAACACAAUUGGCAAUUUAUUUGGAUUUCGAAGAUCCUGGUCCUGGCUGAAAUUUAGAGUAUUGCAGCUGUAGUCUGUAUACCAUACACUCAACAUGAAAAGGACUGUCAGGAUGCUGCAUAAAAUGGUCUUAGCUAGAGCCUAGAAUGUUAAUUUCUUGGGAAUAUGCUGCAAGGAACUGACGGGGAGCAGUUUUUCUUACCAAUCAUAGAAGCAGUAAGAGACAGCCAAAGAAGUACUCAAACACCUGACAUACCCAGAAAGAUCUAGAAGAAAAGAUUGGAACAGAUUUUAGCUUAAUUGUUAAAACUAUUAAAGUGAAUUUAAGCUGCACUUGAACUGUAUUUUUUAAAUAAAAUAUCUGAAGUAUUUAA